UUUCUUUUUAUCUUUUUAAACAACCAUAUGAUCCUAGGUGUAUUUCAGAAACUAUGGGGUAACUAGGUGCAAUAUUUUUUAUUUUUUAUUGUCGCCACGCAAGUCGCAUAUCAACUAUUAAUGAUAAUUUGAAUGGUCUUGCAUAUACAAAUUAAUUGGUGAUUUGAUGUUUUAAGACUUAGUAAGCCAUACAAUAAUAAGAAGUCGAUUGAAUUUCUAAAAGUUUAAUCACUAUUAUAGGUGCAUCGACGCGAUGCUUAUGUUCAUAAAAAA
This is a non-coding RNA of Schizosaccharomyces pombe (fission yeast), 273 nucleotides long. The record is from the annotation of a GenBank genome assembly. Lineage: Eukaryota; Fungi; Ascomycota; Schizosaccharomycetes; Schizosaccharomycetales; Schizosaccharomycetaceae.